AAAUCUUCAGCCUAAAUCAUUUAGCCUCACAAUUUUCCUCAUCUCAUGAUGAUUCUUCAUCUUUCUUACAUCCCUUCAUCGUUGUCUUGUGAUCCUUUAUAUCUUUUAACGCUUCCUUCUUUCUCACAAUUCCAUUUUCUCACAAACCUCAAGUCCAAACCUCUUCAUCUGCUUUUUCCUCUUAAGGCACCAAACGAUCGCUGGUGUUAGGUUCCGAAGGCACCGAUGGUGAUUCAGUUCGUUGAUUGUUGUGUAGGUGGCAGAAUAGGUUGUUUUGGAUGGCUUGUGGAAUUCACAUAAUGGGCUAGGUCAGUAAUCUCAGUGAUGACCAAUUGAAACAGAGACUUGAUCAUAUGUGUAGCACACCUUGCCAGGCACUCUUUCUAUGGCUGAUGAACAUGUACCAGAUUAUGUAGACAAGAAAGCAUUGGUGCAAAAGCAAGUAAAGAUAUGGGUCAUGGCAGUUUGAGUUUCCAUUUCGGUAAUGAGUCGACGGGUUAGAUUUUCUGAUACUGAUUGGGGUUGUUGGCUGUGAUUUGAGAAAUAUAAACUAAGUCGGCUGAGCUCGAAAGUAUAAACCAAGUUGAAAACUUGAGCUCAACUCGACUUUAGAAAACUUGGCUUAGUUUGCCUUGAAUCUUGCUAUCCCGAUUUUGGCUUGCUUGUAUUGUUAAAACUUAAAGAAAAAAAAAAACUCUUUAUAUGAAGUGGACCGGAUAAUGAUGUAAAAUCGGGCUUAAAAUAUUAAUCAACUUUUAUUACUGCUAUAAAAUGAUAUAAGCUGGGGGUUAAUUUAAGUGAGCAAACCUUACCUCGAGCUAAGCAAUCUUCAAAUUUCGAGUCACUAUCUAUUUGAAUAGCACUACGAAUAUAUCUAAUUUGGUAUAUGCAUAUUUUGUUUAUUGCAUAGAAGACUUUUAUAUUUAAAGUCCUUUCUUUCAUCAUCAUUUUUUUAAUUACUACGGGAAGUGAAUGGCAAUAUUAAGAUAUUAAGAUCAAUACAUAUCUACUAAGUUAAAGAACACUAUCUGUUGGUACUUGCAUACAUAUUAAUAUGUUUAUCAAAAUUUUAUUACAGUUUAUUAUUCAAUUUAUGUUUGAAUUCAUAAAGUAAUCAGUUUGAACUAACUACAAGUUACACUAUAAAAGUACAUGUGUUAGUAUGGUCACAAUAAUUAUAUUAUUUGUCAAAAUAUUUAUUGUUUUCACUAAAAAUAACGAUUAAAAUAAUCAAAUUAUUUAAAUGAUAUGUUCAUAUUAUAAAAAACAUGGUCAUGGGCAUUGGGUAAAUUCUCUUGCAUUAAGCACAAAGUACGUUCUUCGGACCAGUGAUGCAUUAGGGUUAUAAUUAGCAGAAAGUACGUUUAUCGCCGAUUUUGUAGUUUGAUGAUGAUAGCUUUUGUUGUAGUUCAGGUUGAUGAUCUAGGAAUUGUUUUCACCGAUCUGUAGUUACACAUUCUUUUACAAGGUAAGGGUUCUUACAAUUAUUGAUAUGCAAUUUUCUUUGUCUUCUGAUAUUAUCACCAGAAUAAGGUCUUCGUGUUUGAUUUUUUAGUUAUGUGAUUAUGAUUAUGUUAUGCUAUUCAACUAAAGAUUCAAGUGGGUCCAUGUUUGCUUUCGUCCUCUCAAUAUAGUGUUCCUCUUCGACCACCGAAAUCUCCUCUUAGUCACAUGUUGGUACACCAGGUACAUUUUUUCCCAAUUAUUGUUAGGUGAUGUGGCCGAUUAUUGUUAGGUGAUGUAGGAGCUGCAUAAGAACUUCUGAAUCUCUUUCUAUUAUGUCAUAAUGUAGUCAAGGUACAUUCAUCAAACUCCACUAAAUUUCCCCAUUCAAAGAAGAAUAUAAAAAAUUUGAUUAAACCACCGGCCCUUUGAUUGAAACAACACACACCCAAAAGUUAGUUAUUUUGCUUAACUUGGCCUACAUGAAGUGUGGUUUUACUCAUAUGACACACUUUCUCUUUGUAUCACUUUUUAUUUUCAAACUAAAAUAAAUAUUAACCAACAUUUUAUUUCAUAGAAAACCCCUAAUUCGGGUUCGGGUGGCUUUGAAUUCCAUGGAUGGAGUACUUUAUAUUCGUGAGGUGGACUUGAAAUUAUGUGAGAGCUAUUAACAACUAUCUAAUGCUUUGGCCACGAUGUUUAGUGCAUUCACCAUGGGUACAUCCGUCUUUUGUUUCUUAAUUAUUGAAUUUAUUGUUAAGGUGUUUUCUCAAGCCAAUGUAUUUUUGUGUAUGAUGCUUAUUUUUGUGGGAAGAGUGGGAAGUGGAGCUCUUCGUAACACCACUAUAAUGAUCCAUCAACCCUUCGAUGGGUUGGGGGCAAGGUAAAGAUACGACUGUUCACACUAAGCAAAUUGUUCGUCUUUGGUAUUCGCUAAAUGCAUUAUAUGUAAAAGCUAAAUGCAUUAUAUGUAAAAGCAUAUGGGACAAAACAUCGAUGUAAUUCAAAAUAAUAUGGAUCGAGAUUGUUAUAUAACCCCGGAAGAAGCUAUAAGGAGCUUGGGAUCAUAGAAAAAUUGGGCGGUGAAGGCUGCCAUGGAUGUAUCUCUCAAGGUGCGCAUAAGGAAUUUGGCAUGUGUUAAUAGCAUAAUGGUUUUUAGACGUGAGAAUUCAAGAAAUGACUAUAGGUAUCCUGUCAAAGGAUGGCCAGACUUCAUGUGUUCAAAUGGUAUGUCAGUCGGUCAGACUUGCACUUUUGUUUUCCUCCAAGAAGGAAAUGUACAUUGGUCCUUACCAAAGUCAAUUAGCAUUGCCUCCUUUUACUGCUAGAGAGACACUUUUUAAUCAAGAUUUUAGAUGCUACCUUUUUUAUUUUAGAUGCUACUUGUGUUACUUUUGAAUCGGAUAUUAGACGCUACUUUAGGGAUGGUUUUUGUUGGUUUAUAUGCUUGAUACCAAGUAGAAAUUAAAUGGAACAGACUUUAGUGGAAACCUGUGCUACUUUCGAAUAUAGAUCUAGUUUUUUAUAUGGUUAUUUGUACUCUGUAUAUUUGAAUUGCCAUACAUAAUUUCUUUUUAUAUGCAUAUUAAAAUAAAAACUAUUAAAACAAGUAAAUAUAUUAAAUGGUAAACUUAGUUAAGGUAACAUGUUAACUUAUUUCAUCUUUUUGGUUAAUUUGUUUGACUGUAAAUGCAUUUUAGUCAAAACUAAUCAUUAACAUUAUUUAAGGUAAAUUUAAUAUCAAUUCCAAAAGUUUUAUUUUGAUUGCUUAUCUUUGUACAAUUCAAAGGUAUUGAUAAUAGCUUUGACAAAUUUAUAUAUAAUAAUUUGCUUAUGUUUUUCAGUAAUGUAUUGAAAUCUUAUGUACUUAUUUUCUUUAUCUAUUUAUUCUUAGGUCCAGAAAGUUGUUAUUGUCGGAACGAUUACUUCAGUAAAUACUAAUCAUCUAUGGUAUUAUAGUGGAUGCAGUCACUCCAAGUUCAAGGUUGAAAAACAAUUCAACAGAUAUGAGCUGGAAAUGGGUCUUGUGAUGUUCUCAACAAGAAGGUUUAUGCAUGUAUGGGAAGCAUGUCUACCAAGUUACAAGCGAAUAGGUUUUGGAGUUACUUGAUGAGAGGCGAGGAAUUGUCGAUUGGUUAUCUUUAUGGUUUUAAAUGUUCAAGGAGCCAAGGGAAGCUAUUGGUUGCAAAACCUCCAAAACAUGCAGUAUCAAUUUAAAAUUGUCUUAAGCGUCUUGAUAUUUUCAUUCGUCUAUUCACUUAAUGUUUUGUGACAGUUCUUUUUUGUGUUUAAUACUUUAACUAAUUUGUCAAUUGUUUUAUUAAUCAUUCGAUUUUUUAUACAAA
Molecule: long non-coding RNA, 3788 nt
Organism: Helianthus annuus (common sunflower)
Lineage: Eukaryota; Viridiplantae; Streptophyta; Magnoliopsida; Asterales; Asteraceae
Exons: 5
Source: RefSeq, a predicted model, not a curated record